CCUAGGGUUUUCGGACCUGAUUUUUGAUCCUGAGAAACGGCUACCACAUCCAAGGAAGGCAGCAGGCGCGCAAAUUACCCAAUACCGACACGGUGAGGUAGUGACAAUAAAUAACAAUGCAGGGUCUUUAUGGUCUUUGCAAUUGGAAUGAGUACAAUUUAAAUCCCUUAACGAGGAUCAAUUGGAGGGCAAGUCUGGUGCCAGCAGCCGCGGUAAUUCCAGCUCCAAAAGCGUAUAUUAAAGUUGUUGCAGUUAAAACGUCCGUAGUCGAACUUACGCCUUGUGGCUAUGCAGCUGGUCAUUCAUUUGGCUAGAUUUGUUUUAGCCCGGGUGAUAAAGUUUGGGUAUGAUCAUGUUGGCUUCGGUCGGUGUGGUUCUCUGCCCAAGCGUAUUACCAUGAGCAAAUCAGAAUGCUCAAAGUAGGCCUUCGUGCCUGAAUGUGUUAGCAUGGAAUAAUGAAAUAGGACCCUAGUCUUGUUUUGUUGGUAUACUUGACCUUGGGAAAUGAUGAAUAGGAACGGUUGGGGGCAUUUGUAUUUGGUCGCUAGAGGUGAAUCUGGAUGCCUAAGCCGC
RNAcentral lists this ribosomal RNA (573 nucleotides) under Cunninghamella elegans. RNAcentral's name for it is "SSU rRNA". It matches the Rfam family "Eukaryotic small subunit ribosomal RNA", at positions 370 to 938 of the family's 1831-position model. The record is from RNAcentral. Lineage: Eukaryota; Fungi; Mucoromycota; Mucoromycetes; Mucorales; Cunninghamellaceae.